Molecule: unclassified non-coding RNA, 2591 nt
Filed under: Leishmania donovani
Lineage: Eukaryota; Euglenozoa; Kinetoplastea; Trypanosomatida; Trypanosomatidae
Description: gene:unknown
Source: RNAcentral
CUCGCUCAUGCUUGCUGUUCUGCUCUGCGCGCAGAGAGAGGUGCGUGGUGUGUGCGUGUGCGUGCGCCUCUGCGCCUCCCUCCGCUGCUCGCGCCCUCCCUGUGUGCGUGUGCUGGCGGAGGCGGCUGGCUGUGGCGACGACGCAGGCACGGGCAGCAGCCGUGCAGCACAGCAGGCGCGUACACGCAUACACACCUAUACACGCGGGAACGGGACUGCAGGCGAGGGGCAGGACCGGAGAAUGCGCGGCGGCACGAGCGAGUGCGACGGUGGAGCGGAGCAGCGGCGGCGCUGCUUUCCUGCUCGCUCCUCUGGCGUCUGGCUCGAGCCCGUCUGCGUGUGCGCCCCCUGUGUCGCUGUGUCUCCUCGCCUCUCUCCUGCGCGAUUUGUUUCGAUGGCUUCGUUGCUGACGCACCCCACCGAGUCCUCCAGGCUCCGCCGUGUGGAGUUGCCACGCCGUAUGUGACGGGUUGCAGCGCACCGACGCGACUGUGGGGAGAGAAGCACUGCAUCCAGGUCGACUACACUGCAGGGCCUCACAGGGCCCUGACCGGAGGCUGGGCAGCAUUCUCCCUCGGCUCGUGCGGCACGUAGAGCCACCGCUCCCCACGAACGCCCUGCUACCCUUGGUUACCCCCUCCCCACCGACAGAGGCCAGCGCCUCCGUCAUGGAGCACGACCCUGAGGGGGCGGCCCGCUGGGAGCGCGGCGUGCCGUGCGCCCCGGUGCGUGUGGCGCCGAUGCAGCGGCAGGACGGCUCGUCCUCGACGACGCGGAUGUGGCCGCCGUGCCACAGGGCGUAGGCGGGCCGUGGCUGUACGCGCGCAUCUGCCGGCUUGUGCGUGGUGGCGUGGAGGCGGUGAGAAGGAAGUGCAUGCCUCGCGGACUCGGACAGACAUGCGAAUCAGCACAUCUAAACACAAGCAAAACGACGCGUGCAUAUAUGCACCGAUAUCUAUAUAUAUAUAUGGGUGUGUGGAUGUCUGGAACGACAAAACCGCCAAACGCCUGUUAUUACGCUGUCCUCGCCUGGCAGGGCGGGGGCGUGCGUGCGCUUGCUUCUCCUCUCUUGCUUGUCCUGUGUUUCCUUUGCGGCACGCCUUCCUGCGCGCGUGCCUGGUAUUUAUCAUGCUUGCUUCCGUUGUCCGACUCGUUCAAACCAACAGCGUCACCGCCGCCACUGCCGCCCCCCUCCUCCGCGAGAGGGCAGGGUAGGGGGUGCAGGCGGCGCUCCUUGCUGCUGCCCGUGGUGGGGCCGCGCCAUGUACGUGCAGGUGUGCGCGCGCCCUCCGGCAGCGCAGCCGCUUUCUGCGCCGAUGCCUCAUCAUGUGCCCCACUCUUCUCUCUGCUGCACGUUGGUGCGCGGGCCAUGGGUGCUCCUCGAGGAUGCGCGGUGGUGCAGAGGAGCCGAUCAUCCGUGAGCGGCGCAGACACGCACACGCGCACACGAGGCACUCACAUGCGCACCUGAUGGCGCUCAUACUCGUCCAGGGGUGAGGCGCGAUGCGGAGAAGCACGGCGUAGAGUCUGUGUGCUGUGCGGCUGCUUGCCCGCUGGAGCGCUCUUGGCGGCGUUGGCUGUGUGAGGGGUGGCAAUGGUGGAGGGCGGCUGGUGUGUGUGUGUGCGAGCGCGUGAGUCCGGGGAGUGGAGGGGUGUGUUCAUUGGUGGAGGAGCAUGCUGACGAGCUGCGGCUCGCGUGCCCGCCGCCCUCGGCCCGGCGCCACGCAGACGCCGUCUGUGCUGCCCAUGUGUGCUGCUCUUCGUUCCCCCACCCCUUCGCGGCGGUGCCGUCUCCGUGGAUGCUGGGUCCGUGUGCACCCGCCGCGCAUCUGCCUGCUAUGUGCAGUGAACGGGAUGGGCGGUGUCGGCGGUUCGUGGCGGCGGUGGCGCUGCGUGGGUGGGCGGUGCUGCGGCCCCCCUGCACACACGUACAGAGAGGCCCCUCCGCCCCUCUCGCACCCUCCCCCUGCCCCCUGCCCCCUGCGCACAUGCGGCUCGAGCGGCCUGGCACAGGCGCGCCUACAGGACACCGCGGAAAGGCGAAAACAGAAGCGAGAAGCUGCCCACGAUAAGCCGUGUAGCUGCGGCUCUUGGCGCUGCAGCUCCCUCGUCCUCGCUGUGCGCCGCGCCGCUACGUGGCACCCGCGGCUAGGCGACGGCGUGCAUGGGCGGAGGGAAGGCCAGCGGGUGCGGGGCGUGGGAGGCGAUGCAGCGCGUCCCAGAGAGGGCUAGCGAGAAAUGCCCCCCUCCCCUCUCCCCCCGUCCUCUCUCGCUUGGCCCCCCUCGCCUGCGCUCCCGUGUCUCCCUCGCUGCCGUUGCGGCCCGUCUCUCGCAUCCGCCGGCCGCACCCCUGCCUAUGUGCCAGCCAAUGGCCCAUGCGCCCCCGCUGUGCACGCGCCCCAGUGUCACUUGCCUGUCUCGUCACCACUGCCUCCCCCGCCUGUCUCUCCCCGUCUCUCCGUCCCUCUCUUCCUCCCCCCCCUGCACACUGCUGCCCACGCCGCCCAUCCCUCCUCGGCCCCUCACAACACACCCGCACACAACAACACGCCCAACAACAACGCGUGCGCGCGCACGCCACCGCAACACAG